Molecule: ribosomal RNA, 254 nt
Filed under: uncultured bacterium
Lineage: Bacteria
Description: partial 16S ribosomal RNA
Rfam family: Bacterial small subunit ribosomal RNA
Source: RNAcentral
UACAGAGGGCGCGAGCGUUGUCCGGAAUCACUGGGCGUAAAGGGCGCGUAGGCGGCCCGGUAAGUCCGCUGUAAAAGUCAAAGGCUCAACCUUUGAAUGUCAGUGGAUACUGCCGGGCUAGAGUCCGGAAGAGGCGAGUGGAACUCCUGGAUGUAGCGGUGGAAUGCGCAGAUAUCAGGAAGAACACCAACGGCGAAGGCAGCUCGCUGGGACGGUACUGACGCUGAGACGCGAAAGCGUGGGGAGCGAACAGG